UCCACUUGUAGUGUCUCAGCCCAUGGACCAAUGUCAUAUUGACUGAAUAAAACAAUUUGGCUUGGAGGGAGUUUGAUACAUGCUGGAUGAGAAAAAGUGUCUAAGCAGCUUUGAGGAACCAGGCAGAGUAGGAUCAACACUGUUUUCUUGUGGCACCUCUUGAGCCAUUCAGUGGUUCUCAAAUAUCCAACAAGGUGCCGGUGCUGGGUUCCCAAAGAGCACAUCUUAGUCAUGUGAGGCAUCUGUCAACUAUAGGGGAGCCCAGGUGAGAGGGAGAUUCCAUGGGACUUGUGUCACCAUGGGAAUGGAACAUGAGAGGAUUCGUAGGGGAAAUGGAGUUGUGUCUCCUGAUGUUUGGGAAACCAUGGGUUUCAAGAAGAGCACCAUUUGGCAUCAUAUCUGUCCAAAGUGAACAAAGGCAUCAUCCUGGACCAUGAAGGAGGUAACACAAGAAGAUGGAAAAUGUCAAGAAACUGAGUCUCAAAUAUUUGAUGGCAGUCUACCUGGGUCUAAAGCUUGGGCUUCUAACCAAGCCACAACAUAGUGUUUGAAUCUAAGGAAAUAUCCUGCCAUCGGAUGGAGCCACUCCAUCUCUUCCUCUGUGAGUUCUCUUCAUGCCUGGUGAAAGGUGUGGCACUUUUGUUUUCUUUUUCAUUUUGCUCCUUAAAUCGGUGACAACACUGCAUAGCAAUUAAGGCCCUGAUGGUUGGAGUUUGGCUGAACUUGGGUUUGAGUUCUAGCAAUGAUUUCAUGGAUAUGAAACCAGAAACACAGGCAACAAAAGUAAAAAAUAGACCCAUGGUUCCACAUUAAAUUAAAAAAUUU
Herpailurus yagouaroundi (jaguarundi) is the source of this 825-nucleotide long non-coding RNA. RefSeq lists it as uncharacterized. The transcript has 5 exons. The record is from RefSeq and is a predicted model, not a curated record. NCBI's taxonomy places the organism in Eukaryota, Metazoa, Chordata, Mammalia, Carnivora, Felidae.